AUGGAUGCAAGAAGGGGAGGGAUAGGGGGAGUUGCUCGAUCUCGGUCUUCCUUUCUUGCGUCAUGGUGCAGACCCUACUCUGGGAUUACGGAUCCGCUGAUAGCUGAAGCUCUUACCAUUCGCGACGGAGUCAUCUUCGCUCGUCUGAGAGGCUAUGCAGAUGUGGUUUUUGAGUCUGACAAUUUGGAGAUUGUGAAUCUCUGGAAUUCGCGCCAAACAUCCCGUGCGGUGGUGGCGUCUAUCUUCUUAGAAAUUGGGGAGCAUGUUCCUUCUUUUAAGUCUUUUGUAGUUCAACAUGUUGGUAGGGCAGGCAACGUCUCCGCUCAUCUCUGUGCAAAGCAAGCGAGCACUUUAGAUGUUACGGAAUGUUGGCUUGAGUCUACUCCUAGUUUUCUUGUAACCAGCCUCCUAGCAGAUUCUGCUGGUGCUGUCGAUGUUGAAUAA
Molecule: ribosomal RNA, 444 nt
Filed under: Triticum aestivum (bread wheat)
Lineage: Eukaryota; Viridiplantae; Streptophyta; Magnoliopsida; Poales; Poaceae
Description: partial small subunit ribosomal RNA
Source: RNAcentral